CCCUGGCUCAGAUUGAACGCUGGCGGCAUGCCUUACACAUGCAAGUCGAACGGCAGCGCGGGAGCAAUCCUGGCGGCGAGUGGCGAACGGGUGAGUAAUACAUCGGAACGUGCCCAAUCGUGGGGGAUAACGCAGCGAAAGCUGUGCUAAUACCGCAUACGAUCUACGGAUGAAAGCAGGGGAUCGCAAGACCUUGCGCGACUGGAGCGGCCGAUGGCAGAUUAGGUAGUUGGUGGGGUAAAGGCUCACCAAGCCUGCGAUCUGUAGCUGGUCUGAGAGGACGACCAGCCACACUGGGACUGAGACACGGCCCAGACUCCUACGGGAGGCAGCAGUGGGGAAUUUUGGACAAUGGGCGCAAGCCUGAUCCAGCCAUGCCGCGUGCAGGAUGAAGGCCUUCGGGUUGUAAACUGCUUUUGUACGGAACGAAAAGGUCUUCUCUAAUAAAGAGGGCUCAUGACGGUACCGUAAGAAUAAGCACCGGCUAACUA
Molecule: ribosomal RNA, 491 nt
Filed under: Variovorax sp. CL3.51
Lineage: Bacteria; Pseudomonadati; Pseudomonadota; Betaproteobacteria; Burkholderiales; Comamonadaceae
Description: bacterial SSU rRNA
Rfam family: Bacterial small subunit ribosomal RNA
Source: RNAcentral